CAUGCAAGUCGAGCGGACCGACGGGAGCUUGCUCCCUUAGGUCAGCGGCGGACGGGUGAGUAACACGUGGGUAACCUGCCUGUAAGACUGGGAUAACUCCGGGAAACCGGGGCUAAUACCGGAUGCUUGAUUGAACCGCAUGGUUCCAAUCAUAAAAGGUGGCUUUCAGCUACCACUUACUGAUGGACCCGCGGCGCAUUAGCUAGUUGGUGAGGUAACGGCUCACCAAGGCGACGAUGCGUAGCCGACCUGAGAGGGUGAUCGGCCACACUGGGACUGAGACACGGCCCAGACUCCUACGGGAGGCAGCAGUAGGGAAUCUUCCGCAAUGGACGAAAGUCUGACGGAGCAACGCCGCGUGAGUGAUGAAGGUUUUCGGAUCGUAAAACUCUGUUGUUAGGGAAGAACAAGUACCGUUCGAAUAGGGCGGCACCUUGACGGUACCUAACCAGAAAGCCACGGCUAACUACGUGCCAGCAGCCGCGGUAAUACGUAGGUGGCAAGCGUUGUCCGGAAUUAUUGGGCGUAAAGCGCGCGCAGGCGGUUUCUUAAGUCUGAUGUGAAAGCCCCCGGCUC
This 576-nucleotide ribosomal RNA is filed under the name uncultured Bacilli bacterium. Its description in RNAcentral is "bacterial SSU rRNA". It matches the Rfam family "Bacterial small subunit ribosomal RNA", at positions 54 to 610 of the family's 1533-position model. The record is from RNAcentral. Lineage: Bacteria; Bacillati; Bacillota; Bacilli.